AGGAAUAUUGGUCAAUGGACGCAAGUCUGAACCAGCCAUGCCGCGUGCAGGAAGACGGCUCUAUGAGUUGUAAACUGCUUUUGUACGAGGGUAAACGCAGAUACGCGUAUCUGUCUGAAAGUAUCGUACGAAUAAGGAUCGGCUAACUCCGUGCCAGCAGCCGCGGUAAUACGGAGGAUUCAAGCGUUAUCCGGAUUUAUUGGGUUUAAAGGGUGCGUAGGCGGUUUGAUAAGUUGGAGGUGAAAUGUUAGGGCUUAACCCUGAAACUGCCUCCAAUACUGUUGGACUAGAGAGUAGUUGCGGUAGGCGGAAUGUAUGGUGUAGCGGUGAAAUGCUUAGAGAUCAUACAGAACACCGAUUGCGAAGGCAGCUUACCAAACUAUAUCUGACGUUGAGGCACGAAAGCGUGGGGAGCAAAC
Molecule: ribosomal RNA, 419 nt
Filed under: uncultured bacterium
Lineage: Bacteria
Description: bacterial SSU rRNA
Rfam family: Bacterial small subunit ribosomal RNA
Source: RNAcentral